Molecule: ribosomal RNA, 549 nt
Filed under: uncultured bacterium
Lineage: Bacteria
Description: bacterial SSU rRNA
Rfam family: Bacterial small subunit ribosomal RNA
Source: RNAcentral
UGGGGAAUAUUGGACAAUGGGCGAAAGCCUGAUCCAGCCAUGCCGCGUGUGUGAAGAAGGCCUUUUGGUUGUAAAGCACUUUAAGUGGGGAGGAAAAGCUUAUGGUUAAUACCCAUAAGCCCUGACGUUACCCACAGAAUAAGCACCGGCUAACUCUGUGCCAGCAACCGCGGUAAUACAGAGGGUGCAAGCGUUAAUCGGAAUUACUGGGCGUAAAGCGCGCGUAGGUGGUUAUUUAAGUCAGAUGUGAAAGCCCCGGGCUUAACCUGGGAACUGCAUCUGAUACUGGAUAACUAGAGUAGGUGAGAGGGGAGUAGAAUUCCAGGUGUAGCGGUGAAAUGCGUAGAGAUCUGGAGGAAUACCGAUGGCGAAGGCAGCUCCCUGGCAUCAUACUGACACUGAGGUGCGAAAGCGUGGGUAGCAAACAGGAUUAGAUACCCUGGUAGUCCACGCCGUAAACGAUGUCUACCAGUCGUUGGGUCUUUUAAAGACUUAGUGACGCAGUUAACGCAAUAAGUAGACCGCCUGGGGAGUACGGCCGCAAGGUUA